GCCUAAUUAGGAGUUCCAAGGAGACUUAGACUAUUUACAUCAUUGGUAUUCUUCUCCACAUGACUUAGUCACACUAAGUACUGAUAUACUACUUGAUGUACUACUUAGCAAUCACCAAGGAAUAUUUAUGUAAGUUAACAGCAAAUUACCCAAUUUAUCUAGCUAUGCUACCUGAACAGAAAGUUUUAUUUCUUACUAGUUUUCUGCCCUUUUGCUCCAAGUAGUUGCUGCAAAACAGAAAGUGCUAUUAUUUUUCGGAAGAGUUUUUUUCUACAACAAGCCCUUUACUGCCCUUGAAUUUGAGUCAGAGGAGCCAAACAGCUGCAGCUGCUCUGAGGGCUUUUAUACCUGGUGGGAUUUGCCCCCUCCCUUUUCCUGGGUGCCAUGGGAACGAGAGGCGGGCACAAUCAGGGGUAUAUUAACCCCAGCCUUGGCUGAGGGGCUUCAUUCCCUCUCCAGGAUGUGCUGGGGUAAGUGCUCUCCUCUCAUUUCAGUGGAGAGGCUCUUUCAGCUAUCUCAGCUUGUUUCCAGCAGGUGUUUCUGGGCAUCUAAAGCAACAGAGGCUUGGAAGAUUCUGUGAAGAAAACAGCAUGGAAUACAGGGAGGAUUUAAGCUUGUGAUUUUGGAUUGCAUAUUGAGGAGUGGUAAGGUGCUUUUGUAAUUUUUGGUUUUGCUCUGUGCUUUUUUUUUUGUGGGUUUUUUGUUUUUUUAGGGGGUUUUUGAUUUUCUUUUUGUUUUGUCUUAUUUUUGGGGUUUUUUGGGGGGAUUUUUGGGGAUUUUUUUGGUUUUAGAGUUUUUUAUUUGUUUUGGGGGGGGUUUUGUGGGAUUUUUUUGUUGGUUUUUUUGUGUGUUUUUUGGACUUCUUUUUUGUUGUUUUUUUGGUUUCUGAGGAGUGCAACUCCCUGAAAUUCCAAGUUGUGUCAAGCACAACAUUUUUUCAGCAGAUUCAUCAUGUCACAAGAGGGAUCUGCCCAGUGUCCAAGAUGAUAUUUGAGAUUGAGGCUUCAGGUGCCAGCCCUAAUAAAGGCCACAGCCUUGGAAUCAGGAUGAAGCUGGAGCCUGAGGGAGCCAGGCACACUCAGGAGAGGCUGACCGAGAGGCUAAUAGGCCAUCACAAGGCCCUCCAAGGCAGACUCUCAUUUCAGGUGCAACGUGGAUCCACAUUACCCAUCAUCCAAAAGAUAAGUUGGGGGCCACGACCUGGAGAUGGGAGAGUAGCAGGUGCAGAUGCAUUGCAUCCAUGGCAGAGGGUCAGAGUUAGCAGGUGCCGGGCAUUCCUAGGAGCACGCUGUCUGAGAGACACCAGCCCGGUGACAGCAGGACCUUCCCAGCUGAUGAGGUGGCCUUUCUUUGCACCUGAUAGGGACCGACAUCCCCAGAUGUCUGAGAGAUAAGUAGAGGGCCAUGACCCACAGAGGGGAUGAAAGCAGGGUGCUGGUUUGGGAAUUACUGGGAGGGGUUUCUGAGUCCAAUUUGGAGGUGGGGGUGUCCAUGAAGUGGCCCCUUAGGCCCCAUAAAAGCAAAGUCUCACUUUUGGUCACAGUGCUGAGGUGUGCAGCAGGGCAGAGCAGUCCCGGUGUGUCUCAUGUCACUUGUCUAUUGUGCAUUAUGUGUUGCUUGGAUAUCUCAUGUCUUUUACCUUAGCCUUUGAGGGGCCUGUCAGAAACCUUGGCAUCAUUGUUAGCAUCUGUGAUCUCUGCAUUCCUUGGCCUGGCACCCAGGCCAUAGAUGUGAUUCUGAUACCUGUCUGAGCUCCUGAGUCAAAAGUUCUCUCUUUGGAAGCAUCCUGUCAGAUGUCUUGUCAGGUCUUGUUCUGAGCUGCAUGGACAGCUAUGCCCCCCACCUGGAUCCAUUAUGGUGGAUUAGGACUUGUAAUAAUAUGAGGUUAGGUAGAGGAUUCUCACCAUAUGAUUCCUAGGCAUCCAUCUUUGCUGUUCUUGGAAUAAAUCAUUCAGUUAGCAUCUUCUUCCUCCA
Molecule: long non-coding RNA, 1974 nt
Organism: Zonotrichia albicollis (white-throated sparrow)
Lineage: Eukaryota; Metazoa; Chordata; Aves; Passeriformes; Passerellidae
Source: Ensembl